Molecule: signal recognition particle RNA, 290 nt
Filed under: Cebus imitator (Panamanian white-faced capuchin)
Lineage: Eukaryota; Metazoa; Chordata; Mammalia; Primates; Cebidae
Description: Metazoan signal recognition particle RNA (ENSCCAG00000001556.1)
Rfam family: Metazoan signal recognition particle RNA
About the family: The signal recognition particle (SRP) is a universally conserved ribonucleoprotein. It is involved in the co-translational targeting of proteins to membranes.
Source: RNAcentral
GCCGGGCACGGUGGCGCGUCCCAGCUACUCGGGAGGCUGAGGUGGGAGGAUCUCUUGAGCCCAGGAGUUCUGGCCUGUAGUGCGCUAUGCUGAUCGGGUGUCCGCACUAAGUUCGGCAUCAAUAUGGUGACCUCCCAGGAGCGGGGAACCACCAGGUUGCCUAAGGAGGGGUGAACCAGCCCAGAUUGGAAGUGGAACAGGUCAAAACUCCUGUGCUGAUCAGUGGUGGGAUAGCGCCUGUAAAUAGCCACUGCACUCCAGUCUGGGUAACAUAGUGAGACCCCACCUCA